RNAcentral lists this ribosomal RNA (3029 nucleotides) under Salmonella enterica subsp. enterica serovar Typhimurium. Its description in RNAcentral is "23S ribosomal RNA". It matches the Rfam family "Bacterial large subunit ribosomal RNA". Lineage: Bacteria; Pseudomonadati; Pseudomonadota; Gammaproteobacteria; Enterobacterales; Enterobacteriaceae. The record is from RNAcentral.
GGGUUGUGAGGUUAAGCGACUAAGCGUACACGGUGGAUGCCCUGGCAGUCAGAGGCGAUGAAGGGCGUGCUAAUCUGCGAUAAGCGCCGGUAAGGUGAUAUGAACCGUUAUAACCGGCGAUACCCGAAUGGGGAAACCCAGUGUGACUCGUCACACUAUCAUUAACUGAAUCCAUAGGUUAAUGAGGCGAACCGGGGGAACUGAAACAUCUAAGUACCCCGAGGAAAAGAAAUCAACCGAGAUUCCCCCAGUAGCGGCGAGCGAACGGGGAGGAGCCCAGAGCCUGAAUCAGCAUGUGUGUUAGUGGAAGCGUCUGGAAAGGCGCGCGAUACAGGGUGACAGCCCCGUACACAAAAGCGCAUGUGCUGUGAGCUCGAUGAGUAGGGCGGGACACGUGGUAUCCUGUCUGAAUAUGGGGGGACCAUCCUCCAAGGCUAAAUACUCCUGACUGACCGAUAGUGAACCAGUACCGUGAGGGAAAGGCGAAAAGAACCCCGGCGAGGGGAGUGAAAAAGAACCUGAAACCGUGUACGUACAAGCAGUGGGAGCCCCACCACCAAAGCAUUCUCUGGUGUUGAAGGCCCUGCAAAGCAGCAUCGCGGUGGCGGAGCGUCGUUUGCGACGCCCAACACACAAAACAAGCGGUGAAUGCUUUGGGGUGGGGUGACUGCGUACCUUUUGUAUAAUGGGUCAGCGACUUAUAUUCUGUAGCAAGGUUAACCGAAUAGGGGAGCCGGAGGGAAACCGAGUCUUAAUUGGGCGUUAAGUUGCAGGGUAUAGACCCGAAACCCGGUGAUCUAGCCAUGGGCAGGUUGAAGGUUGGGUAACACUAACUGGAGGACCGAACCGACUAAUGUUGAAAAAUUAGCGGAUGACCUGUGGCUGGGGGUGAAAGGCCAAUCAAACCGGGAGAUAGCUGGUUCUCCCCGAAAGCUAUUUAGGUAGCGCCUCGUGAAUUCAUCUCCGGGGGUAGAGCACUGUUUCGGCUAGGGGGCCAUCCCGGCUUACCAACCCGAUGCAAACUGCGAAUACCGGAGAAUGUUAUCACGGGAGACACACGGCGGGUGCUAACGUCCGUCGUGAAGAGGGAAACAACCCAGACCGCCAGCUAAGGUCCCAAAGUCAUGGUUAAGUGGGAAACGAUGUGGGAAGGCCCAGACAGCCAGGAUGUUGGCUUAGAAGCAGCCAUCAUUUAAAGAAAGCGUAAUAGCUCACUGGUCGAGUCGGCCUGCGCGGAAGAUGUAACGGGGCUAAACCAUGCACCGAAGCUGCGGCAGCGACGCUGAUGCGUUGUUGGGUAGGGGAGCGUUCUGUAAGCCUGCGAAGGUGACCUGUGAGGGUUGCUGGAGGUAUCAGAAGUGCGAAUGCUGACAUAAGUAACGAUAAAGCGGGUGAAAAGCCCGCUCGCCGGAAGACCAAGGGUUCCUGUCCAACGUUAAUCGGGGCAGGGUGAGUCGACCCCUAAGGCGAGGCCGAAAGGCGUAGUCGAUGGGAAACGGGUUAAUAUUCCCGUACUUGGUGUUACUGCGAAGGGGGGACGGAGAAGGCUAUGUUGGCCGGGCGACGGUUGUCCCGGUUUAAGCGUGUAGGUGUGUGUUCCAGGUAAAUCCGGUUCACUUUAACACUGAGGCGUGAUGACGAGGCACUACGGUGCUGAAGCAACAAAUGCCCUGCUUCCAGGAAAAGCCUCUAAGCAUCAGGUAACAUCAAAUCGUACCCCAAACCGACACAGGUGGUCAGGUAGAGAAUACCAAGGCGCUUGAGAGAACUCGGGUGAAGGAACUAGGCAAAAUGGUGCCGUAACUUCGGGAGAAGGCACGCUGACACGUAGGUGAAGUGAUUUACUCACGGAGCUGAAGUCAGUCGAAGAUACCAGCUGGCUGCAACUGUUUAUUAAAAACACAGCACUGUGCAAACACGAAAGUGGACGUAUACGGUGUGACGCCUGCCCGGUGCCGGAAGGUUAAUUGAUGGGGUCAGCGCAAGCGAAGCUCCUGAUCGAAGCCCCGGUAAACGGCGGCCGUAACUAUAAUGGUCCUAAGGUAGCGAAAUUCCUUGUCGGGUAAGUUCCGACCUGCACGAAUGGCGUAAUGAUGGCCAGGCUGUCUCCACCCGAGACUCAGUGAAAUUGAACUCGCUGUGAAGAUGCAGUGUACCCGCGGCAAGACGGAAAGACCCCGUGAACCUUUACUAUAGCUUGACACUGAACAUUGAGCCUUGAUGUGUAGGAUAGGUGGGAGGCUUUGAAGUGUGGACGCCAGUCUGCAUGGAGCCGACCUUGAAAUACCACCCUUUAAUGUUUGAUGUUCUAACGUGGACCCGUAAUCCGGGUUGCGGACAGUGUCUGGUGGGUAGUUUGACUGGGGCGGUCUCCUCCUAAAGAGUAACGGAGGAGCACGAAGGUUGGCUAAUCCUGGUCGGACAUCAGGAGGUUAGUGCAAUGGCAUAAGCCAGCUUGACUGCGAGCGUGACGGCGCGAGCAGGUGCGAAAGCAGGUCAUAGUGAUCCGGUGGUUCUGAAUGGAAGGGCCAUCGCUCAACGGAUAAAAGGUACUCCGGGGAUAACAGGCUGAUACCGCCCAAGAGUUCAUAUCGACGGCGGUGUUUGGCACCUCGAUGUCGGCUCAUCACAUCCUGGGGCUGAAGUAGGUCCCAAGGGUAUGGCUGUUCGCCAUUUAAAGUGGUACGCGAGCUGGGUUUAGAACGUCGUGAGACAGUUCGGUCCCUAUCUGCCGUGGGCGCUGGAGAACUGAGGGGGGCUGCUCCUAGUACGAGAGGACCGGAGUGGACGCAUCACUGGUGUUCGGGUUGUCAUGCCAAUGGCACUGCCCGGUAGCUAAAUGCGGAAGAGAUAAGUGCUGAAAGCAUCUAAGCACGAAACUUGCCCCGAGAUGAGUUCUCCCUGAGACUUUAGGUCUCCUGAAGGAACGUUGAAGACGACGACGUUGAUAGGCCGGGUGUGUAAGCGCAGCGAUGCGUUGAGCUAACCGGUACUAAUGAACCGUGAGGCUUAACCUUACAACGCCGAAG